UACAGAGGUCCCAAGCGUUGUUCGGAUUCACUGGGCGUAAAGGGUGCGUAGGUGGUUGUGCAAGUCUGAUGUGAAAUCUCCGGGCUUAACCCGGAAAUGGCAUUGGAAACUGCAUAGCUAGAGGGUUGGAGGGGGGACUGGAAUACUUGGUGUAGCAGUGAAAUGCGUAGAUAUCAAGUGGAACACCAGUGGCGAAGGCGGCUCACUGGCCCGAUACUGACGCUGAGGCACGAAAGCGUGGGGAGCAAACAGG
This 253-nucleotide ribosomal RNA is filed under the name uncultured bacterium. RNAcentral describes it as "partial 16S ribosomal RNA". It matches the Rfam family "Bacterial small subunit ribosomal RNA", at positions 524 to 776 of the family's 1533-position model. The record is from RNAcentral.